Molecule: ribosomal RNA, 253 nt
Filed under: uncultured bacterium
Lineage: Bacteria
Description: partial 16S ribosomal RNA
Rfam family: Bacterial small subunit ribosomal RNA
Source: RNAcentral
UACGAAGGGGGCUAGCGUUGCUCGGAAUCACUGGGCGUAAAGGGUGCGUAGGCGGGUUUUUAAGUCAGAGGUGAAAUCCUGGAGCUCAACUCCAGAACUGCCUUUGAUACUGAGAAUCUUGAGUACGGGAGAGGUGAGUGGAACUGCGAGUGUAGAGGUGAAAUUCGUAGAUAUUCGCAAGAACACCAGUGGCGAAGGCGGCUCACUGGUCCGUAACUGACGCUGAGGCACGAAAGCGUGGGGAGCAAACAGG